UCGCGGCUUAUCACCGGCAGUCCCCUUAGAGUGCCCAACUAAAUGAUGGCAACUAAAGACGAGGGUUGCGCUCGUUGCGGGACUUAACCCAACACCUCACGGCACGAGCUGACGACAGCCAUGCAGCGCCUCCACACUUGUCCCUUGCGGGAAGGCCAUAUUUCUAUAGCUAGUCAAGUGCGCUUCGAGCCCAGGUAAGGUUCCUCGCGUAGCGUCGAAUUGAACCACAUGUUCCACCGCUUGUGCGGGCCCCCGUCAAUUCCUUUGAGUUUCAGCCUUGCGGCCGUACUCCCCAGGCGGGGUACUUAACGCGUUAGCUCCGGCACGCCGGGACUGAAUAACCCGACACACCAAGUGUCCAUCGUUUAGGGCCAGGACUAC
RNAcentral lists this unclassified non-coding RNA (381 nucleotides) under uncultured Acidobacteriota bacterium. RNAcentral's name for it is "uncultured Acidobacteria bacterium contains 16S-23S intergenic spacer region". Lineage: Bacteria; Pseudomonadati; Acidobacteriota. The record is from RNAcentral.